GAUGAACGCUGGCGGCGUGCCUAAUACAUGCAAGUCGAGCGAACGGACGAGAAGCUUGCUUCUCUGAUGUUAGCGGCGGACGGGUGAGUAACACGUGGAUAACCUACCUAUAAGACUGGGAUAACUUCGGGAAACCGGAGCUAAUACCGGAUAAUAUUUUGAACCGCAUGGUUCAAAAGUGAAAGACGGUCUUGCUGUCACUUAUAGAUGGAUCCGCGCUGCAUUAGCUAGUUGGUAAGGUAACGGCUUACCAAGGCAACGAUGCAUAGCCGACCUGAGAGGGUGAUCGGCCACACUGGAACUGAGACACGGUCCAGACUCCUACGGGAGGCAGCAGUAGGGAAUCUUCCGCAAUGGGCGAAAGCCUGACGGAGCAACGCCGCGUGAGUGAUGAAGGUCUUCGGAUCGUAAAACUCUGUUAUUAGGGAAGAACAUAUGUGUAAGUAACUGUGCACAUCUUGACGGUACCUAAUCAGAAAGCCACGGCUAACUACGUGCCAGCAGCCGCGGUAAUACGUAGGUGGCAAGCGUUAUCCGGAAUUAUUGGGCGUAAAGCGCGCGUAGGCGGUUUUUUAAGUCUGAUGUGAAAGCCCACGGCUCAACCGUGGAGGGUCAUUGGAAACUGGAAAACUUGAGUGCAGAAGAGGAAAGUGGAAUUCCAUGUGUAGCGGUGAAAUGCGCAGAGAUAUGGAGGAACACCAGUGGCGAAGGCGACUUUCUGGUCUGUAACUGACGCUGAUGUGCGAAAGCGUGGGGAUCAAACAGGAUUAGAUACCCUGGUAGUCCACGCCGUAAACGAUGAGUGCUAAGUGUUAGGGGGUUUCCGCCCCUUAGUGCUGCAGCUAACGCAUUAAGCACUCCGCCUGGGGAGUACGACCGCAAGGUUGAAACUCAAAGGAAUUGACGGGGACCCGCACAAGCGGUGGAGCAUGUGGUUUAAUUCGAAGCAACGCGAAGAACCUUACCAAAUCUUGACAUCCUUUGACAACUCUAGAGAUAGAGCCUUCCCCUUCGGGGGACAAAGUGACAGGUGGUGCAUGGUUGUCGUCAGCUCGUGUCGUGAGAUGUUGGGUUAAGUCCCGCAACGAGCGCAACCCUUAAGCUUAGUUGCCAUCAUUAAGUUGGGCACUCUAAGUUGACUGCCGGUGACAAACCGGAGGAAGGUGGGGAUGACGUCAAAUCAUCAUGCCCCUUAUGAUUUGGGCUACGCACGUGCUACAAUGGACAAUACAAAGGGCAGCGAAACCGCGAGGUCAAGCAAAUCCCAUAAAGUUGUUCUCAGUUCGGAUUGUAGUCUGCAACUCGACUACAUGAAGCUGGAAUCGCUAGUAAUCGUAGAUCAGCAUGCUACGGUGAAUACGUUCCCGGGUCU
Molecule: ribosomal RNA, 1372 nt
Filed under: uncultured bacterium
Lineage: Bacteria
Description: bacterial SSU rRNA
Rfam family: Bacterial small subunit ribosomal RNA
Source: RNAcentral